CGCGGCCUAUCAGCUUGUUGGUGAGGUAAUGGCUCACCAAGGCGACGACGGGUAGCCGGCCUGAGAGGGUGACCGGCCACACUGGGACUGAGACACGGCCCAGACUCCUACGGGAGGCAGCAGUGGGGAAUAUUGCACAAUGGGCGAAAGCCUGAUGCAGCGACGCCGCGUGAGGGAUGACGGCCUUCGGGUUGUAAACCUCUUUCAGUAGGGAAGAAGCCCCUUUUGGGGGUGACGGUACUUGCAGAAGAAGCGCCGGCUAACUACGUGCCAGCAGCCGCGGUAAUACGUAGGGCGCAAGCGUUAUCCGGAAUUAUUGGGCGUAAAGAGCUCGUAGGCGGUUUGUCGCGUCUGCCGUGAAAGUCCGAGGCUCAACCUCGGAUCUGCGGUGGGUACGGGCAGACUAGAGUGAUGUAGGGGAGACUGGAAUUCCCGGUGUAGCGGUGAAAUGCGCAGAUAUCAGGAGGAACACCGAUGGCGAAGGCAGGUCUCUGGGCAUUUACUGACGCUGAGGAGCGAAAGCAUGGGGAGCGAACAGGAUUAGAUACCCUGGUAGUCCAUGCCGUAAACGUUGGGCACUAGGUGUGGGGGACACUCCACGUUUUCCGCGCCGUAGCUAACGCAUUAAGUGCCCCGCCUGGGGAGUACGG
This 650-nucleotide ribosomal RNA is filed under the name uncultured bacterium. Its description in RNAcentral is "bacterial SSU rRNA". It matches the Rfam family "Bacterial small subunit ribosomal RNA", at positions 232 to 885 of the family's 1533-position model. The record is from RNAcentral.